This 251-nucleotide ribosomal RNA is filed under the name uncultured prokaryote. Its description in RNAcentral is "partial 16S rRNA". It matches the Rfam family "Bacterial small subunit ribosomal RNA", at positions 525 to 775 of the family's 1533-position model. The record is from RNAcentral.
ACGGAGGAUCCAAGCGUUAUCCGGAUUUAUUGGGUUUAAAGGGUGCGUAGGCGGGCCCUUAAGUCAGUGGUGAAAGUUUGCAGCUUAACUGUAAAAUUGCCAUUGAAACUGGGGGUCUUGAGUGUAAAUAAGGUAGGCGGAAUGCCUGGUGUAGCGGUGAAAUGCGCAGAUAUCAGGAAGAACACCAAUUGCGAAGGCAGCUUACUGGGAUGUAACUGACGCUGAGGCGCGAAAGCGUGGGGAUCAAACAG